UGGGGAAACCCAGUGUGACUCGUCACACUAUCAUUAACUGAAUCCAUAGGUUAAUGAGGCGAACCGGGGGAACUGAAACAUCUAAGUACCCCGAGGAAAAGAAAUCAACCGAGAUUCCCCCAGUAGCGGCGAGCGAACGGGGAGGAGCCCAGAGCCUGAAUCAGCAUGUGUGUUAGUGGAAGCGUCUGGAAAGGCGCGCGAUACAGGGUGACAGCCCCGUACACAAAAGCGCAUGUGCUGUGAGCUCGAUGAGUAGGGCGGGACACGUGGUAUCCUGUCUGAAUAUGGGGGGACCAUCCUCCAAGGCUAAAUACUCCUGACUGACCGAUAGUGAACCAGUACCGUGAGGGAAAGGCGAAAAGAACCCCGGCGAGGGGAGUGAAAAAGAACCUGAAACCGUGUACGUACAAGCAGUGGGAGCCCCACCACCAAAGCAUUUGCUGUACCGCGUUGACGGAGCGAAGCGACGUCAAACCGAUAAAACAGCAGUGUAAAGUGAGCCGCAGGGCGCUUUGCGCGACAGCGCAAAGGCAGGCGGUUUCGCGUAGCGAAAGCGAAUGCUUUGGGGUGGGGUGACUGCGUACCUUUUGUAUAAUGGGUCAGCGACUUAUAUUCUGUAGCAAGGUUAACCGAAUAGGGGAGCCGGAGGGAAACCGAGUCUUAAUUGGGCGUUAAGUUGCAGGGUAUAGACCCGAAACCCGGUGAUCUAGCCAUGGGCAGGUUGAAGGUUGGGUAACACUAACUGGAGGACCGAACCGACUAAUGUUGAAAAAUUAGCGGAUGACCUGUGGCUGGGGGUGAAAGGCCAAUCAAACCGGGAGAUAGCUGGUUCUCCCCGAAAGCUAUUUAGGUAGCGCCUCGUGAAUUCAUCUCCGGGGGUAGAGCACUGUUUCGGCUAGGGGGCCAUCCCGGCUUACCAACCCGAUGCAAACUGCGAAUACCGGAGAAUGUUAUCACGGGAGACACACGGCGGGUGCUAACGUCCGUCGUGAAGAGGGAAACAACCCAGACCGCCAGCUAAGGUCCCAAAGUCAUGGUUAAGUGGGAAACGAUGUGGGAAGGCCCAGACAGCCAGGAUGUUGGCUUAGAAGCAGCCAUCAUUUAAAGAAAGCGUAAUAGCUCACUGGUCGAGUCGGCCUGCGCGGAAGAUGUAACGGGGCUAAACCAUGCACCGAAGCUGCGGCAGCGACACUGUGUGUU
RNAcentral lists this ribosomal RNA (1200 nucleotides) under Salmonella enterica subsp. enterica serovar Enteritidis. RNAcentral describes it as "partial 23S ribosomal RNA". It matches the Rfam family "Bacterial large subunit ribosomal RNA", at positions 119 to 1222 of the family's 2925-position model. The record is from RNAcentral. Lineage: Bacteria; Pseudomonadati; Pseudomonadota; Gammaproteobacteria; Enterobacterales; Enterobacteriaceae.